GAUGAACGCUGGCGGCGCGCCUAACACAUGCAAGUCGAACGAUUAAAGCACCUUCGGGUGUGUAUAAAGUGGCGAACGGCUGAGUAACACGUGGGCAACCUGCCCCUCUCAUUGGGAUAGCCACGGGAAACCGCGGAUAAUAUCGAAUACUUCGAGACUUCCGCAUGAAAGACUCGAGAAAGCUCCGGCGGAGAGGGAUGGGCCCGCGGCCUGUUAGCUUGUUGGUGGGGUAACGGCCUACCAAGGCAAUGAUGGGUAGCUGGGUUGAGAGACCGACCAGCCAGAUUGGGACUGAGACACGGCCCAGACUCCUACGGGAGGCAGCAGUGGGGAAUCUUGCACAAUGGGCGAAAGCCUGAUGCAGCGACGCCGCGUGCGGGAUGAAGGCCUUCGGGUUGUAAACCGCUUUCAGCAGGGACGAGGCGAAAGUGACGGUACCUGCAGAAGAAGCCCCGGCUAACUACGUGCCAGCAGCCGCGGUAAUACGUAGGGGGCAAGCGUUAUCCGGAUUCAUUGGGCGUAAAGCGCUCGUAGGCGGUCUGUUAGGUCGGGAGUUAAAUCCGGGGGCUCAACCCCCGUUCGCUCCCGAUACCGGCAGACUUGAGUUUGGUAGGGGAAAGGUGGAAUUCCUAGUGUAGCGGUGGAAUGCGCAGAUAUUAGGAAGAACACCAGUGGCGAAGGCGGCCUUCUGGGCCAUAACUGACGCUGAGGAGCGAAAGCUAGGGGAGCAAACAGG
RNAcentral lists this ribosomal RNA (736 nucleotides) under uncultured Atopobium sp. Its description in RNAcentral is "bacterial SSU rRNA". It matches the Rfam family "Bacterial small subunit ribosomal RNA", at positions 28 to 776 of the family's 1533-position model. The record is from RNAcentral. Lineage: Bacteria; Bacillati; Actinomycetota; Coriobacteriia; Coriobacteriales; Atopobiaceae.